GAUGAACGCUGACAGAAUGCUUAACACAUGCAAGUCAACUUGAACUUCGGUUUGGGUGGCGGACGGGUGGGUAACGCGUAAAGAACUUGCCUCACAGAUAGGGACAACAUUUGGAAACGAAUGCUAAUACCUGAUAUUAUGAUUUUAGGGCAUCCUAGGAUUAUGAAAGCUAUAUGCGCUGUGAGAGAGCUUUGCGUCCCAUUAGCUAGUUGGAGAGGUAACGGCCCACCAAGGCGAUGAUGGGUAGCCGGCCUGAGAGGGUGAUCGGCCACAAGGGGACUGGGACACGGCCCUUACUCCUACGGGAGGCAGCAGUGGGGAAUAUUGGACAAUGGACCAAGAGUCUGAUGCAGCAAUUCUGUGUGCACGAUGAAGUUUUUCGGAAUGUAAAGUGCUUUCAGUUGGGAAGAAAAAAAUGACGGUACCAACAGAAGAAGUGACGGCUAAAUACGUG
RNAcentral lists this ribosomal RNA (454 nucleotides) under uncultured bacterium. Its description in RNAcentral is "partial 16S ribosomal RNA". It matches the Rfam family "Bacterial small subunit ribosomal RNA", at positions 28 to 507 of the family's 1533-position model. The record is from RNAcentral.